AUUGAACGCUGGCGGCAUGCCUUACACAUGCAAGUCGAACGGCAGCACGGGAGCAAUCCUGGUGGCGAGUGGCGAACGGGUGAGUAAUAUAUCGGAACGUGCCCGGUCGUGGGGGAUAACGUAGCGAAAGCUACGCUAAUACCGCAUACGAUCUACGGAUGAAAGCGGGGGAUCGCAAGACCUCGCGCGAUUGGAGCGGCCGAUAUCAGAUUAGGUAGUUGGUCAGGUAAAGGCUCACCAAGCCGACGAUCUGUAGCUGGUCUGAGAGGACGACCAGCCACACUGGGACUGAGACACGGCCCAGACUCCUACGGGAGGCAGCAGUGGGGAAUUUUGGACAAUGGGCGCAAGCCUGAUCCAGCAAUGCCGCGUGCAGGAUGAAGGCC
RNAcentral lists this ribosomal RNA (386 nucleotides) under uncultured bacterium. RNAcentral describes it as "bacterial SSU rRNA". It matches the Rfam family "Bacterial small subunit ribosomal RNA", at positions 29 to 416 of the family's 1533-position model. The record is from RNAcentral.